GACGAACGCUGGCGGCGUGCUUAACACAUGCAAGUCGAACGGAAAGGCCCUGCUUUUGUGGGGUGCUCGAGUGGCGAACGGGUGAGUAACACGUGAGUAACCUGCCCUUGACUUUGGGAUAACUUCAGGAAACUGGGGCUAAUACCGGAUAGCAGCUCCUGCUGCAUGGUGGGGGUUGGAAAGUUUCGGCGGUUGGGGAUGGACUCGCGGCUUAUCAGCUUGUUGGUGGGGUAGUGGCUUACCAAGGCUUUGACGGGUAGCCGGCCUGAGAGGGUGACCGGCCACAUGGGGACUGAGAUACGGCCCAGACUCCUACGGGAGGCAGCAGUGGGGAAUAUUGCACAAUGGGCGGAAGCCUGAUGCAGCAACGCCGCGUGCGGGAUGACGGCCUUCGGGUUGUAAACCGCUUUCGCCUGUGACGAAGCGUGAGUGACGGUAAUGGGUAAAGAAGCACCGGCUAACUACGUG
RNAcentral lists this ribosomal RNA (468 nucleotides) under uncultured bacterium. Its description in RNAcentral is "partial 16S ribosomal RNA". It matches the Rfam family "Bacterial small subunit ribosomal RNA", at positions 28 to 507 of the family's 1533-position model. The record is from RNAcentral.